UACAGAGGGUGCGAGCGUUGUCCGGAAUCACUGGGCGGAAAGGGCGCGUAGGCGGCCUGAUAAGUCGGGGGUGAAAUCCUGUGGCUUAACCACAGGGCUGCCUCCGAGACUGUCGGGCUCGAGCACAGUAGAGGCAGGUGGAAUUCCCGGUGUAGCGGUGGAAUGCGUAGAGAUCGGGAAGAACAUCGGUGGCGAAGGCGGCCUGCUGGGCUGUUGCUGACGCUGAGGCGCGACAGCACGGGGAGCGAACGGG
Molecule: ribosomal RNA, 253 nt
Filed under: uncultured bacterium
Lineage: Bacteria
Description: partial 16S ribosomal RNA
Rfam family: Bacterial small subunit ribosomal RNA
Source: RNAcentral